Long non-coding RNA from Capsicum annuum, 357 nucleotides. RefSeq lists it as uncharacterized. Lineage: Eukaryota; Viridiplantae; Streptophyta; Magnoliopsida; Solanales; Solanaceae. The transcript has 3 exons. The record is from RefSeq and is a predicted model, not a curated record.
AUAUAAAAACCCUAAUAGCUAGAGAUUCAACCAUGAGAAUUCUAUAAUUUUUACAUAUUCGGAAUCCCCAUUACGAAGGCUACUAGUGACACCCAAAAGUUCGUGAAUAGCAUUACGGCAUUCAGAAAGUCAUUCAAAGCUUCAAGUUUAAGGAAAAGAAGCUUGCUACAAUUUCCCUGAGACAUGUUUGCCAUGGAUUUGGUGGACUCAACUCUUGAGGAGCUAGUGGUUUUCAUCCCCUUGGUGCCUUAUGAUAGACCAAGAGCUUCUUCAAUAGGAAGCAGAUUUGUACAAAUGAUGACCACAUCAAAGAACCAACGAUAUAUGAAUGACAGAUUGCAUUAGAAGACGAUACGG